CAGCCGCCGCGGGAACACGAAGGGUGCAAGCGUUACUCGGAAUUACUGGGCGUAAAGCGUGCGUAGGUGGUGGUUUAAGUCCGUUGUGAAAGCCCUGGGCUCAACCUGGGAAUUGCAGUGGAUACUGGGUCACUAGAGUGUGGUAGAGGAUAGUGGAAUUUCCGGUGUAGCAGUGAAAUGCGUAGAGAUCGGAAGGAACAUCUGUGGCGAAGGCGACUAUCUGGGCCAACACUGACACUGAGGCACGAAAGCGUGGGGAGCAAACAGGAUUAGAUACCCGCGUAGUCCCUGUCUCUUAUAA
This 301-nucleotide ribosomal RNA is filed under the name uncultured bacterium. Its description in RNAcentral is "partial 16S ribosomal RNA". It matches the Rfam family "Bacterial small subunit ribosomal RNA", at positions 509 to 809 of the family's 1533-position model. The record is from RNAcentral.